This 204-nucleotide ribosomal RNA is filed under the name uncultured bacterium. Its description in RNAcentral is "partial 16S ribosomal RNA". It matches the Rfam family "Bacterial small subunit ribosomal RNA", at positions 568 to 772 of the family's 1533-position model. The record is from RNAcentral.
UGUGUAGGCGGAUCGUUAAGUGCCUUGUGAAAUCCCACCGCUCAACGGUGGAACUGCUUGGCAUACUGGCGGUCUUGGGCCAUCUAGGGGCGACUGGAACAGACGGUGGAGCGGUGAAAUGCGUAGAUAUCGUUUGGAACGCCAAUGGUGAAAACAGGUCGCUGGGGAUGUGCCGACGCUGAGACACGAAAGCCAGGGAGCAAC